AAAUCCGGGACCCAAGGAAGGGACUUCCUGGGAACCCCCCUAACUCGAGCCCCUGUUCCCGCCUCUCAUGCGCUACCGUGGCCUCCGUCCCCUUUGUCAGCUGUCCACGUGCAGAUUGUUGAGCUCCAACCACCCUUAGCAGCGCUUUAAAUAGAGGCCACUUCGUUGCCCAAUCAAGACAGACUGGCUGCAUCCACAGUAAGGAUUUGAGGGAAAUCUCCGCAGCUCCACUAGUGCUGGUUUGAAAGGCACUGGUGCCGUGGUCUGUUGUGCACUGCCGGUAAACUGAGAGCGGCGCACAGAGCGAUCCCUGAAAGCGCAAAGACAUGGGGACUCGAGGAUUAAGCUACCCCUUUCACAUCGUGCCUGUCUCACUAAUAGCGCCUCCCAAACCAGCAAGGCAACUGCAAAUGAAACCAGAGUUGCCUGAACGCUGGACACUGACAAAGCAGAAGAGCCAUAAAUGAUAGUGCUCAGACUCCAGUAUGGAUUAGGGCUCCACUGUGCUAGCACUGUGCAAACACACAUAAACGCUCGUGAGGGCAUCCUGUGCCAAAACCAUUCAAAAUUAUGCACAUGGUAUUUUAAAAUUCUGCAAGUUUUAUUUGUCAAAUAAAUGUGCAGGCUGGGAACCACGGCCAGUGGGAGCUACGGGGGUGGUGUAUGCGGGUGGAGGCAGUGCACACUGUGCAGAGCUGCCUGGCUGUGCCUCCGCCCAGAGCCAAAACAUGUUGCCGCUUCCUGGAGCUGCCUGAGACUAAUACCGCUACAACUCUGAAACUUGAGAUGGAACUGGGGCUGCACUGCUUCUGAGGAGACAGCAGAUUGGUGCAUAUGAUAAUUAAAGAAGGGGACUUGCUCCAUAGUGAAAAUCAGGCAUGACCUUGUUGCCACAUGCUGAAGUAAUGGGAUAACACACAGUUCCUAAUAUCCCCCAUCCCGUCCCAGUUUUUCACAUUUGCUAUUGAUCCCUGAAUUGAUGCCUGUACUCCACCUUGGCAGAAGGAGUAAGUGGAGUCUACAGGGGAGCCGCAGCAGUCGACUCACCGACGUGAGGACGGCCAGGUAAGUCGAACUAAAAUACUUUGACUUCAGCUACGCAAAUAGCGUAGCUGAAGUUGUGUAUCUUAGUUCGAACACCCUCCCCAGUAUAGCCCAGGCCUAAGAUUAUACUCAAAGAGCUUAUUUUAUCCCUCUGGCAUGUUUUUCUAACCCUUUAAUCAUUCUCAUGGCUCUUCUUUGAGCCCUCUCCAAUAUAGGCACAUCCUUCUUGAAUUGUGAACAUCAGAAUUCCAUACAGAGGAAGAAUAAUCUCUAUUCCUGCUUGAGGUUUCCCUGUUUAUGCAGCUAAGUAUCACAUUAGAACUCCCAGUAUAAUGUGGUGGCGAAGAGGACAUGUUCAGCUGACUACCCACUGCAGUGCCCAACAGUCACUUCUUCCCAAAAUAGAGUUCUCCAUCCCGUAGGUCACUGAAAAAUGUUAAAUAGCAUAGUGCCAAGAAUUGUUUCCUGCAGGACCUCACUUGAGAAACUCCCUAUUGAGUCCCUGCUAACAAUUACAUUUUGAGCAUAUUAUAGGAGCAUGGUGCUGUGACAGGGUGUACAUAACAAAAAUAUGAACGUUCAUCUGAGUAAUAUGCGGAUUUGGUAUGAGGUGCCAGAAGUUCUUGUUGCUGUGAGUUUGGGUUGGCUCCAUCACCACCAAGUGACUCUUACUUUUCAAGAUCACAAAAGCAAAGGGCCAGUUUUUCAAAUGUGGGCAAUUAAAACAUGCAUCUGCUGUGUGUGGAAGGGACCCUAUCACAAUUGAAUAGAAAUUUGCAAAUGCCUAUUGUACUGGAACUGCAAAUGGAUUUUUGUCUGGGUGCAUCUUCUGUAGCACUGAUUUAUCCUUCAUAAAUCCUUCAUUUAUCCUUCACUCAGAAAUGCUCCUCUCCAACCUUCAAACUUGCUAGUGCAGGGUGAGUAAGUUUUUUGGCCCAAGGGAAAUUGGGUGGGGAAAUUGCUUGCAGGGCCAUGA
Dermochelys coriacea (leatherback sea turtle) is the source of this 2020-nucleotide long non-coding RNA. RefSeq lists it as uncharacterized. The record is from RefSeq and is a predicted model, not a curated record. NCBI's taxonomy places the organism in Eukaryota, Metazoa, Chordata, Testudines, Dermochelyidae. The transcript has 5 exons.